AGCGAACGUAUCACUUAAAGCGAUUCAGCGGGUUACGAUUGACGGAGCGAAGCGACGUCAAAGCGUAUACAAAGUCGAGUCGGUUUAAGGAUACGUUCGUUGGGUAGGGGAGCGUUCUGUAAGCCUGUGAAGGUGGCCUGUGAGGGUUGCUGGAGGUAUCAGAAGUGCGAAUGCUGACAUAAGUAACGAUAAAGCGGGUGAAAAGCCCGCUCGCC
RNAcentral lists this ribosomal RNA (215 nucleotides) under Salmonella enterica subsp. enterica serovar Derby. Its description in RNAcentral is "partial 23S ribosomal RNA". It matches the Rfam family "Bacterial large subunit ribosomal RNA", at positions 1148 to 1338 of the family's 2925-position model. RNAcentral also lists the same sequence under 1 other name. Lineage: Bacteria; Pseudomonadati; Pseudomonadota; Gammaproteobacteria; Enterobacterales; Enterobacteriaceae. The record is from RNAcentral.